Molecule: long non-coding RNA, 1186 nt
Filed under: Monodelphis domestica (gray short-tailed opossum)
Lineage: Eukaryota; Metazoa; Chordata; Mammalia; Didelphimorphia; Didelphidae
Description: lncRNA (ENSMODG00000045862.1)
Source: RNAcentral
AGGCGCCGAAAUUCAAAACGAUCAACAGCAUAGACCCUGGGAACCCUCCUCCUGGACCUGGACCCGGAUCAAAAGAGUCACUGAAGUCCAGUAACAAGACAAAAAUCAGGAUGCCUGUGAAGCAGAGGAUGACCUUGGCAUUUCUGAUGUCUGACCAAGUUCUAUGUACCUCAUAGAAGCUUUGGUGGUUCAUAGAGCCUGCUUCAGCUUCAUUCAUAGACUUCUGGGCAAGCAUGGUGGCAGUCUAGAUGUGGGACAAUUCCUCUCCCCAGCACCCACCAACACAGAGUACCUCAAAAGACCUUAAAAACCAUUUUCAGAAGAACAGAGGAACUCUAUAGUAAGCUGCAGAAUUGAAGAUGCUAAUCAGUAAUUCUGAGAUGAUACAUGAGUUUCUGAUGUCAUGUGUUCCUAGUUAUCCAUUAGGAGAUAUCUUCUGAUGUAACUUAUUUAAGAAUCUUAACAAGGGAAGAGACCAACCUGGCCUGCCAGAAGGUAUGGACCUUGAUCUUGUUUUCAUAGUUCAGAACUGAGAAGUUAAAAUGCCUAUUCAGCACUCCCAAAAAAAGUGUUUUGUGUUUUAAUAUCUUUGGCAGUGGUCUUUUAAGACACUGUAAUAGUUUGUGAGUUACUGUUUUAUGUUUUAUGUAUUAUCAAUGUGUUUUUUGUAUUUAAGAAUUUCCUCUCCUGAGAGGAAAUAAGCCACUGACCUAUAAUUUACGACUUUGUAAAUUAAGUAUUUUUCUAGAAAGAGUCCUAUUAACUUCUGUUAGGAAAUCCAAAAGUUAAGCCUAUGUCUUAAAUCAAUUUUUUUUCUCAGGGUGCUGGAUUUGGGAGAUCCAGAGAAUUAAAAACCCUCAACUCAUUCUCUCCAACUUAUAGGUUAGUAUGUCCUAGAAAAAUGCCUCUUUACCUUGAAAGGAAGAAGUCUUUACACCUACACAUUUUCACAUUUUUCUUCUUUAUUCUGCUUAGUUUGGAUAUAAAAUUAUUUGUAAAAUUUUAUGAAGUAGAUGCUAGACAAUUAUGAACAAUAUUAUCUAAUAAGACAGAAAAGCAGUGAAAAGAGAGCUAAAACUAUUUCAAAGAAAUCUCAGCAAGAUAUUCAAAUAAGCAAAAUAAUUCCAACAUAAUCUAAGGAUGAGAAAGGAAGGAGAAUAAAUAAUUCACAAUUUAUGAAAUACCA